CGACAAAUACAAAAACCGUCCAAGAACGUAUUACACUAAAUUUCCAGUUACGAUCAAAGAACGCCAGUUGUUUGACACGCUUUGUCCAGUAUAAAAGCAUUAAUAUGUGCAGAAAAGAUGAUACAUAUUCCCAAAAUCACCAGAUAUUACUAACCUUAGAAUCGGAGCAGAAAUUUGGCCAGGAAUGGAGGCUGCCAUCUCAACGUCUGAUAGCUAGAUGCUAAUUUAGCUCAAGGGCAGCCAACUUUAGCCUUGGAAUGAGGCCUGAGGAAGAACUCUGGCUGGGUGCAGCACCGGUAGCAAAGAGCCUGAGGCACCAGAGUGUACAGUAUAUUGACCAACAUGAAAACAAGCUGGCUGCUAACAGGUACUCUGUAUGAGAACGGAGUCCGAGUGUGAAGAGAUGCACCAAUAUAGGAAAA
Oryzias melastigma (Indian medaka) is the source of this 422-nucleotide long non-coding RNA. RefSeq lists it as uncharacterized. The record is from RefSeq and is a predicted model, not a curated record. NCBI's taxonomy places the organism in Eukaryota, Metazoa, Chordata, Actinopteri, Beloniformes, Adrianichthyidae. The transcript is spliced from 3 exons.